UUUAAUGAGAGUUUGAUCCUGGCUCAGGACGAACGCUGGCGGCGUGCCUAAUACAUGCAAGUAGAACGCUGAAGAGAGGAGCUUGCUCUUCUUGGAUGAGUUGCGAACGGGUGAGUAACGCGUAGGUAACCUGCCUGGUAGCGGGGGAUAACUAUUGGAAACGAUAGCUAAUACCGCAUGAUAUUAAUUGUCGCAUGAUAAUUAAUUGAAAGAUGCAAUUGCAUCACUACCAGAUGGACCUGCGUUGUAUUAGCUAGUUGGUGAGGUAACGGCUCACCAAGGCGACGAUACAUAGCCGACCUGAGAGGGUGAUCGGCCACACUGGGACUGAGACACGGCCCAGACUCCUACGGGAGGCAGCAGUAGGGAAUCUUCGGCAAUGGGGGGAACCCUGACCGAGCAACGCCGCGU
This 411-nucleotide ribosomal RNA is filed under the name Streptococcus sp. SN3. RNAcentral's name for it is "bacterial SSU rRNA". It matches the Rfam family "Bacterial small subunit ribosomal RNA", at positions 1 to 402 of the family's 1533-position model. The record is from RNAcentral. Lineage: Bacteria; Bacillati; Bacillota; Bacilli; Lactobacillales; Streptococcaceae.